UACGUAGGUGGCAAGCGUUGUCCGGAGUUAUUGGGCGUAAAGCGCGCGCAGGCGGUGCGGUAAGUCUCUGGUGAAAGCGCUCGGCUUAACUGGGCGAGGGCCGGGGAGACUGCCACGCUGGAGGGGAGCAGAGGCGAGUGGAAUUCCGGGUGUAGUGGUGAAAUGCGUAGAGAUCCGGAGGAACACCAGUGGCGAAGGCGGCUCGCUGGGCUCUACCUGACGCUGAGGCGCGAAAGUGUGGGGAGCGAACCGG
Molecule: ribosomal RNA, 253 nt
Filed under: uncultured bacterium
Lineage: Bacteria
Description: partial 16S ribosomal RNA
Rfam family: Bacterial small subunit ribosomal RNA
Source: RNAcentral